GGGCGGGGCAACCUGGGGAGGUGACGGGACAAAGAGGGACUGAGGGGGCGGUGGCCGCCCUGCGGGAGGUGGAGAAAGGAGUACGUAUUCGCUCAUUGGCUAGAGUGAGUGUGCGUACUAAGCGAUUGAUGUGAGUAAAGCCCGCCUGGGCGUGUCUGCCGCGGAGCAUAAGCUCACGUGGAUUACCUGUAGGGUCUCCAUCAGGAAGCCCUAGGUGCCGGCAAGAAGGGUAGUGGAAAGACGUGACCUGCCCUCAAGCAGCUCAGCCUCACGGGGAAAAGAAAUGUGUAAAGAGCUGAACUUAGGGUCAUGGAUGUUGUAUGGACAAGGAGUUUGAAAAACUUGGCUGGAGGGGAGGACUUUGCAUUUGCACACACUGGAAGGAUGCCUUUAUUGUAUCCAUUUCUGUAUUCGUACCAGCACCUCGCAAAAUAAUUUUCUGUAUGUUAUAGAAAUUCAAAGAAGACAAACUCUAGCCAAGAGCAGUGUGAAGAAAAGAAGACGCUAUAUUAAUCACAGUCCAGGGAUGCCUUCUGGCUUCCUGGCAGCAAUUCCGGCCUGAGAUUCCUUCUCUGUGCAUACUUCCUGUCAACACUGUGUGAUGUCAAGCUGUAGCCAUCACAAAAGUACUGUGAACACCUGUAAAUCCCAACUAUCAAAAAUCACACCCAGGAAUCCAAAUUAGCAUUAUUAUGUCAAAAGAAAAACCUGAUUUCCU
RNAcentral lists this long non-coding RNA (718 nucleotides) under Pan troglodytes (chimpanzee). RNAcentral describes it as "long non-coding RNA NONPTRT017341". Lineage: Eukaryota; Metazoa; Chordata; Mammalia; Primates; Hominidae. The record is from RNAcentral.